AUUCAUCAACGUUGAUUAAGCACUUACUAUGUGCUGAGAAUACAAAGGGUUGCAGAAAAGGAAGAAGAAUCAGCAGAGAGCAUUUGUGGCCAGCAAAGCUUAAAAUAUUUCCUAACCGAUCCUUUGCAAAAAAAGUUCACCCACUCCUGUAGUCAGCAGCUCCCCUACUGUGCGCAGUCAGUGUGCCAUCUCAGACUAGCAAAGUUGUCCAGAGAGGAAAGACAGGCCAAAAUAGUUCAGUAUGCUGUCUUACUGGGAGGACAACAGCUUAAGCCACAAAGCCCUGAGUUUGACCCUAGAACUCUGUGGCUACUGGUGACUCAUCUUGAAAAUUAUCAGAUUGAAUCUUCUCUACCGGUUUGAUAACAACUGAUGAGUGGAAAAAGAACGCCAAUCAAAUGUGCAUGCUUAAUAAGCAGCCUCCUUAUUCCCCUCUGCAGAUUUGUGCUUGGAUCAUCUACACUUCCCUGAAUGUUGAAGAAGAUAUGCUAUCCAUGCAAUCCUUGUCGACUGCUUGAUUAAAAAGUGGAUAAACUGUCUUCAGGCCCUUGGAGUAUGGUGUCUGUGUGAAGAAGGGAAUGAGGCAGAAGUAGCAGUCAGUGGUGGCUGAAGUAGGAGAAAGUGCUUGCUAAUGAAAUCUUGAUUUUUCUGUGGCUUUUCUGUGCAAUUGGGUGGCUAAGUAGGAAAGCCAUUGGAGCUUCACUGUAUCAAUUCUGCCUUUCUUGUUUUUUGGAACUCCAAUUCACCAAGGCUCCCUGCCACCCUAUCCAUCUAUAACUUUUCAUCACUUUUUCCUCAAAGUAAGAAGUGUGUCCCAGAAAAUGUGCCUUUGUGACUCAGCAACAUUUCAAAUCCAUCUGAGCCUUCCCAGCGUUCCAAAAGAAAUACUGAUUUGAAUUCAGCUGCUUAAAAAACCAGUCUCUAAGCAGACAGCUUGAAACUUCCUUACAGCAAUAGUUUAGGCUUUGGAGGGGAAAUUGGUUUGUUUUUAAUUGUUUUAAUUUUUCAUUCAAUUCAUUUGCCGCCUGAUUAUAUAUGAUCUUUUGAGCCCAAUACUCUGCUAAAUUAACCUUGACUUUCUUUCUCUCUUUCUCUCUCUCUCCUUCUCUCUUUCUUCCUUUCUUUCUUUCUUUUUGACAGAGCCUUGCUCUGUCGCCCAGGCUGGAAUGCAGUGGCACAAUCUCAGCUCACUGUAAACUCCGCCUCCAAAGUUCAAGCAAUUCUCCUGCCUCAGCCUCCUGUGUAGCUGGGAUUACACACGCCAGCCACCAUGCCUGGCUAAUUUUUGUAUUUUUAGUAAAGAUGGAGUUUCACCCUCUUGGCCAAGCUGGUCUCGAACUCCUGACCUCAACCUUGGCCUCUCAAAGUGCUGGGAUUACAAGCAUGAGCCACCAUGCCUGGCCUUACCUUGAUUUUUUUUUUUUGAGACAGAGUCUCACUCUGUUGCUCAGGCUGGAGUGUAGUGGCUCGAUCUUGGCUCACUGCAACCUCCAUCUCCCGGGUUCAAGAGAUUCUCCUGCCUCAGCCUCCCAAGUAGCUGGGACUACAGGUGUGGGCCACCACGCCUAGCUAAUUUUUUAUAUGUUUACUAGAGACAGGGUUUCACCAUGUUGGGCAGGCUGGUCUUGAACUCCUGACCUCAGGUGAUUCACCUGCCUCGGCCUCCCAAAAUGCUGGGAUUACAGGUGUGAGCCACCACACCCGGCCCCUACCUUUGAUUUUUAAGUCAAGAGGGAACAAGUCGAAAUUUCUAUUCAGGUAAACUGUAUACCUUUGGACACUGAAUCACUUUUAGAACCCCAGUAAAAAUCAUGUAUGAAUGACCCACAAUUUCACUCCAACAGGAAGGUGUGUAUAUGUGCACAAAAACAUUAGAUUGUUCACACCGGUGCUAUUCAUAAUAGUCAAAAACUGGAAACAACUCAAACAUCCAUCAACUGUAGAAUGGAUAAAUAAAUCAUGAUAUAUUCAUACCAUGGAACAUAACAGUGACAAUAAAUGAACCACUGCUACACACAACAGAUAUGAAUUUCACAAACAGAAUGCUGAGCAACAGAAGCCAAACACAGAAGGAUACACAUUUAUAAAUCCAUUUGUAUGAAGUUCAUAAACAGACAAAAUUAGUCAGUGGAGAUUAUUCUCAUAGAAGUCUGAAGGGUAGUUGUCUUUAGGGAGGGGGAUAUAGUGACUGAGGUGGGUAUAAGGGGUUUCUGGGGUUUGGUGAUGGUACACCAGCAUAUUCACUCUGAAAACUCAUUGAGCUGUGCAAUAAUGAUUUUUCAAACUUUUAUAUGUGUAUGAUAAUGCUUCAAUAAAGCUUUGCUUAAAAA
RNAcentral lists this long non-coding RNA (2330 nucleotides) under Homo sapiens (human). Its description in RNAcentral is "HSALNT0310075". Lineage: Eukaryota; Metazoa; Chordata; Mammalia; Primates; Hominidae. The record is from RNAcentral.